AUGCAGCGUGGUGCAGGCGGCAGUGGUGAGAAAGUUGCGGAUUGGUGCUGCUGGCCCCAACAGGCACCUUGCACUACCCGUGUAAGCACGUUCGAGAAGGCAGUGGGGGUGUCCACGGAAAAGCCGACGACAGAUAAUGUAAUCAUUCAAGUGCUGGGUACUGGUACCUUUGACUCGCUUGGAGAAGCAUAUGAUUUGUACAACUUGUAUUCUUGGGAGGAAAGGAUUUGGUAUAAGAUAUGGGAAAAGCUAGUUAAAUGUGGAGAGGGUGAAGUGCAUGCAGGAAAUUGUCUGCCGAUGUUCGGGGGAAAGCUGGUGUGGAGAACACAAGGUCCCUUCGGUGUGAAUGCCCAGCGUUGA
RNAcentral lists this ribosomal RNA (360 nucleotides) under Triticum aestivum (bread wheat). RNAcentral's name for it is "partial small subunit ribosomal RNA". Lineage: Eukaryota; Viridiplantae; Streptophyta; Magnoliopsida; Poales; Poaceae. The record is from RNAcentral.